RNAcentral lists this unclassified non-coding RNA (246 nucleotides) under uncultured fungus. RNAcentral's name for it is "partial contains 5.8S ribosomal RNA, internal transcribed spacer 2, and large subunit ribosomal RNA". The record is from RNAcentral. Lineage: Eukaryota; Fungi.
AACGCACAUUGCGCCCCUUGGUAUUCCGGGGGGCAUGCCUGUUCGAGCGUCAUUUCAACCCUCAAGCUCAGCUUGGUAUUGGGCCUCCGCCGGUCACACGGCGGGCCUUAAAAUCAGUGGCGGCGCCGUUGGGUCCUGAACGUAGUAAUAUACCUCUCGUUACAGGGUCCCCGCGUGCUCCUGCCGUUAAACCCCCAAUUUUCUAUGGUUGACCUCGGAUCAGGUAGGGAUACCCGCUGAACUUAA